Molecule: ribosomal RNA, 650 nt
Filed under: uncultured Bacteroidales bacterium
Lineage: Bacteria; Pseudomonadati; Bacteroidota; Bacteroidia; Bacteroidales
Description: bacterial SSU rRNA
Rfam family: Bacterial small subunit ribosomal RNA
Source: RNAcentral
CGGCAGGCUUAACACAUGCAAGUCGAGGGGCAGCAUAAUGGAUAGCAAUAUCUAUGGUGGCGACCGGCGCACGGGUGCGUAACGCGUAUGCAACCUACCUUUAACAGGGGGAUAACACUGAGAAAUUGGUACUAAUACCCCAUAAUAUCAUAGAAGGCAUCUUUUAUGGUUGAAAAUUCCGAUGGUUAGAGAUGGGCAUGCGUUGUAUUAGCUAGUUGGUGGGGUAACGGCUCACCAAGGCGACGAUACAUAGGGGGACUGAGAGGUUAACCCCCCACACUGGUACUGAGACACGGACCAGACUCCUACGGGAGGCAGCAGUGAGGAAUAUUGGUCAAUGGACGCAAGUCUGAACCAGCCAUGCCGCGUGCAGGAUGACGGCUCUAUGAGUUGUAAACUGCUUUUGUACGAGGGUAAACGCAGAUACGUGUAUCUGUCUGAAAGUAUCGUACGAAUAAGGAUCGGCUAACUCCGUGCCAGCAGCCGCGGUAAUACGGAGGAUUCAAGCGUUAUCCGGAUUUAUUGGGUUUAAAGGGUGCGUAGGCGGUUUGAUAAGUUAGAGGUGAAAUUUCGGGGCUCAACCCUGAACGUGCCUCUAAUACUGUUGAGCUAGAGAGUAGUUGCGGUAGGCGGAAUGUAUGGUGUAGCGG